UUAAGCUACAAAGGGCAUAUGGUGGAUGCCUAGGCGUUCCGAGCCGAUGAAGGACGCGAUAAGCUGCGAUAAGUCAUGGGGAGCCGCAAGUAGGCUUUGAUCCAUGGAUCUCCAAAUGGGGCAACCCGAUACGAGUCAUGUCGUAUCAUCCAUGUGUGACAUGGAAGGCACACCCGGUGAACUGAAACAUCUAAGUAGCCGGAGGAAGAGUAAUCAAACGAGAUUCCCUCAGUAGCGGCGAGCGAACAGGGAAGAGCCCAAACCGGACGUCUUCGGACGACCGGGGUUGAGGACCAGCAUCAAGGGAAGGCAAGAUAGUCGAACAGUCUGGGAAGGCUGAGCACAGACGGUGAAACUCCGGUAGACGAAAUCUUACCCAACGGGCUGGUAUCCAGAGUACCACGAGACACGUGAAACCUUGUGGGAAGCAGGGUGGACCACCAUCCAAGGCAAAAUACUACGGAACGACCGAUAGCGCAUAGUACCGUGAGGGAAAGGUGAAAAGAACCGCGGGAGCGGAGUGAAAUAGAACCUGAAACCGUAUGUCUACAAGCAGUCGAAGCACUUUAUAUGUGCGACGGCGUGCCUAUUGAAGAAUGAACCGGCGAGUUAAUUUCAGAGGCGAGGUUAAGCGGGAGACGCGGAGCCGAAGCGAGAGCGAGUCUGAAUAGGGCGCAAGUCUCUGGGAUUAGACCCGAAACCACAGUGAUCUAUGCAUGGCCAGGUUGAAGCUCAGGUAAAAAUGAGUGGAGGACCGAACCCGUGAGUGUUGAAAAACUUUGGGAUGAGCUGUGCAUAGGGGUGAAAUGCCAAUCGAACGUGGAGAUAGCUGGUUCUCCCCGAAAUAGCUUUAGGGCUAGCCUCAGGUAACACAUGGAGACGGUAGAGCACUGAUCGGGUAAGGGAGCGUAAAGCUUACCGAGCCUAGUCAAACUGCGAAUGGCUUCAUGAGAAGAGCCUGGGAGUCAGAAUGCGAGUGAUAAGACCCGUAUUCAAAAGGGAAACAGCCCAGAUCGCCGACUAAGGUCCCAAAUGCUGUACUAAGUGGAAAAGGAUGUAGGACUUCCAAAACAACCAGGAUGUUGGCUCAGAAGCAGCCACCAUUCAAAGAGUGCGUAAUAGCUCACUGGUCGAGAGGCCCUGCGCCGAAAAUAUCCGGGGCUCAAGUACAGAACCGAAGUCGCGGGAUGCGCAAGCAUCGGUAGGGGAGCGUUCCAAGCAGGUUGAAGGCAGACCGGAAGGACGGCUGGACAGCUUGGAAGUGAGAAUGCUGGUAUGAGUAGCGAAACGAUCCGUGAGAAUCGGAUCCACCGAAAGCCUAAGGGAUCCUGAGCAACGCUCGUCGUCUCAGGGUAAGUCGGGACCUAAGCCGAGGCAUAAAGCAUAGGCGAUGGACAACAGGCGAAAAUUCCUGUACUGCAUGAUGUUGUUUGAGGAUGGAGUGACACAGCAAGGAGCUUGAGCGCGCGAUUGGAAAUGCGCGUCGAAGGCGGUAGGCUGGUGCAGAGGCAAAUCCCUGUACUAAGGCCGAGAACUGAUAGAUAGGAGCGUACUUCGGUACAAUCCAAAUUCAAGCGUACUACACUGUCGAGAAAAGCUUCUAACGAGACAUCAUGUACCCGUACCAAAACCGACACAGGUAGGCGGGGAGAGAAUCCUAAGGUGCGCGGGAAAACCCUCGUUAAGGAACUCGGCAAAAUGCAUCCGUAACUUCGGGAGAAGGAUGGCCGGAGCUGGUGAAGACCUUCGCGGUUGGAGCUGGAGCCGGCGGCAGAAGAGAAGCCCAAGCGACUGUUUACCACAAACACAGGUGCCUGCUAAAGAGAAAUCUGACGUAUAGGUGCUGACACCUGCCCGGUGCUGGAAGGUUAAGAGGAGAGGUCAUUCGCAAGAAGAAGCUUUGAAUUGAAGCCCCAGUAAACGGCGGCCGUAACUAUAACGGUCCUAAGGUAGCGAAAUUCCUUGUCGGGUAAGUUC
RNAcentral lists this ribosomal RNA (1977 nucleotides) under human gut metagenome. RNAcentral describes it as "bacterial LSU rRNA". It matches the Rfam family "Bacterial large subunit ribosomal RNA", at positions 3 to 1983 of the family's 2925-position model. The record is from RNAcentral.